UGCUAUAUUCACCAGGGCCCAUAGUCCUU
This 29-nucleotide non-coding RNA is filed under the name Mus musculus (house mouse). Lineage: Eukaryota; Metazoa; Chordata; Mammalia; Rodentia; Muridae. The record is from RNAcentral.